UGCUGCUACUGCUACUACUACAACUACAAGUACUACUACUACUACAACUACUACUAAUUCUACCACUACUUCUACUGUAACUAACGAACUCUAUGCUUUUAACGACCACUACUGCUGAUUACAAUCCAAACUCUGCUACGAACGCGCGAACCAAACUACCACCUACUACAACCCACGAAGCGCCGCGUUUGUGUCGUGCUUUUAUUUUGAAAAACGACACGCAAAAUGAACCAGUCACGUUACCUGUGCAAAGCGAGGCCUCGUUUGUCAUCGGUCACGUGGUUUUCAGCAAACUGAUGCAAGCCUCGAAGCGGAGCUUCGCCAGACACGCCCCCUUCAUACUCGGUACACGCCUCGAAGCCUCGGCUUCAAACGUCCCAUCACUACUGCCUGCCUGUCUUCUGCUCCUCGUCUGCCUGUGGUUGGUAGGCUCUCAGCCUGUUCGUGUUCCAUAAGGGACCCCUCUCCACCCCCCACCAGCUCACCUCCUCUGGAGCCAUCAGCCCUGUCCUCCAGGUUCGGAUCCACACCCUGCCCUCAUCUGAACCAGUGUCUAGUCAGACUUCCACUAGCAGUGAGGUCUUUGUGCUUUUCCCCUUCCACACUUGUUGAGCCUGUAGUGAACUUUUGGACAAUUAUCUGCUCACGAGUCCCCUUCACUCCCUGCCCUCCCGUGGUAGCGUGCUCGCCUGCCACUCGGGAGGCCCGUGUUUAAAUCCAGCCUGAUCCGCUGCAUUAUUGACUGUGUAUCUACCUUACCUACAAAUAAAGACCGUUUGAAACAAGAAAAAACCUGGUUCAUUUGUGCUGCAAUUGGGUUAACUCUAAACCUCUUUGAAUAAGAUUGUUUUGGGGAGACAGAAUUAAAAUAUAGAAUUUAGUCUGCUGAUUUGUUGUUUACUGUUUCAAGUUAAAUCCUGUGUUUAAGGGGUAACCUGCCGAAGAUCUCUCUGUCCAGAAAUUAAAGGAACAUCAGUUCUGUAACCGUACUGCCAUCCUGUCUUUCCUCCAAAUAAUAGAAAAGACUUAAAGGUGGGGUAGGAAGGAAUCUGCUAAAGAAGUAACUUUUUUUGUGGUAUGUAUAUACAAAAAAGCUAUUAAUGUCAAUCAAUAGCUAUUAGUUAUUGAUGACAUUUUGGUAAUAUCACGAUAUCACUGUGUUCUCCUACACCUGUAUCUAAUAAUUUUGAGCUUCCCACUCAUUUUGACUGUAAACAAAACCAUUCUCCACCUCUUCAGCCCUAGAGGUGGAGGUCGGCUAUGCGACUACAAAGUGCAUGCUCUGGAGCAGACCCAAAACAAUCUUUUCUUGUAAUAAUGGUGGAUAGUGAAAAGCAGCUGGAGAAGCUGGAGAAAAAGCCGUGUCCUCCUUUGGCCAGACUGCCUACACACCAAUAGUCCAAGGACUGUAGCUGAAAAACAGGCACUCAAGAAGAGGAGAGAUCAGGCAAGAAAAUAGGUCCCAAAUAAAUAUUGGCAUAGCCACUUAACGGUGGAAGACCAAUUGACAUUUAAGAAAUUCUAAAUCAGAUGCGAGCUUUGCAACUUUCCUACUGGAUAGGUCAAUUGCAAAAAUCAUUUAUUUUUUGUUGUCUUGUGCCCUACAAGAUGUCCUGUUAGUUUAGUCACUGAGAAACCGCAAACAAAGUGUUAGCAAGUAGCCUGUAAGCAUGUCUACAUUGGCACCAGUUGACUGAGUUGUAGUUGAAAUAAAGUAAGCAAAAUUACUGUAACAGAGUUGUUUUAUGUAAAACAGGACCUGUUACUGCCUUUAAUAUUUAUCUGGGGUCCUGAAAUAUGUCAUGUUAUCAAAGUCCUUCAGACAAAGGGUUGGCAGGUAGCCUGUUAGCAUGGAUCUACAUUGGCACCGGUGCUAUCUGCUUCACACUGGCUGUGCUCCAUGGAACUGAUGCUUCAUAAGUAGUAUUUAGUUUAAGUGUUGUUUUUGACUGUCAAGCAGCUUACAAAAGUUUACAGAUAGGAGUAUAUGCAAGGCACCAUAGAAACAAGUUGAUCUUUUUUUUAGCAAAGUCCAUGUCUGUUUGUAUCACUAAAUUGCUGAAGGAAACUUUGGUUGAGUAAAAAAGCUUUUUCAGUGCAGAGUGGUGACUUUUUUUUGUCUUUUGAUAGCUAUGAGAAAGUAGGAUUGGCCCCUUCAUCUAUGCCUUACAACAAGAAAAGAAAGACCAAGCACUUACUGCCUCCUCCCCCACAGCUGAGUAUGUAUGCUGAGACCCUCUCAGACAGGGAAUCGCAGCAUGCAUGGAGUCUUUUAUAUUACAUUUGUGUGGUAAAUGAAACUAAUUGUGCCACAAUAGCAAACUAAUCUAAAAAAAUGAGAAGAAAUAGAAGAAAUAACAUUGCUUUCAUGCAGAGCAUUGGAAUUUGGAACCAAGAAUUCAGACCUCUUUGGUGGGGUUUUCUACUUUGUUACACAGGACAGGCAGAGCGCUACAAAAGGAGCAGUGGUUGAAUUGGCUUCCUACUGUUGGUUGUUGAGAACACUGUGCAUGACAUGGAUGAGAAUCAACCUCCAGAAAUGACACAACCAUCACAAGAGCACAGGUUGAGUGUGAGGAGGACUUCAUUGGACAUCAGUUCUUAAAGCCUGAUCUAUGCAUGUGUCUGCGUCGUUUGGCACUCAGCCAAUUCUCUCACCUGAAGGCAACUUUUUAACCCAAUUUUAACCGGUUUUAAACUUUUAAGGCUGCAAUUUAGGCGUUUGCUUACUUUUAAGUUGAACUUCUACCGUGUAUCGGUUUUAAUUUUUUUAUUUGUUGCAGUAGAUAGCAAGCAAGCUGCCGCUUUUAUCUGGUUUUAAAAGGUUCUGAUUGUUUUUAAUACAUUGUGCCCUGAGCAAAGGAUUACUUUCUCUUUUUACUGGACAAAAGGUUUAAGUCAUUGGACUUUGGGAUUUCUACACUUUUACUGAGUGAGCUACAUGGCAACCAUGGAGGUUACCGCCAUGGAAGCUUACUUACCUGCAGAAGUACGACAACAACUUUAAGGGAGCCAAGAAAAAGAUCACCGAUCUUUUUGAUGUCCACCAGAUCCCAGUUCCUAUGGUUUUAGUUCCACCUCUGACUAGGGUUGGGUAUCGAGAAUCGAGUAUCGAUGGGGACCGGGACUAACAUUUAGAUUCUUCCAGUAUCGUUCAAAUAUUAAAAUUUAGAUUCCAAGUUUCGAUGCCAGAGUCAUCGAAAUGCCGGAAGAAAUAGCCGCUGAAUAUCAACGAAGAAGAAGCCGCUUAACACCAAUGAGGACGGAGCGUAUGAGACGAAGCCACACAGAAAGUGAAGAGAGACAGAGAGAGAAAGUUAAUUGCAACCCACAGCAAUGCAGCCGCUGUGGGUUACAAUGUACUCUCUCUCUCUCUGUCUCUCUCCUUUCUCUGUGUGUGGCUUCGUCUCAUACGCUCCGCCCUCGUCGGUGUUCGGCAGCUUCUUCUUCGUUGGUCAAAAGUUUGGCUAACCUUAGCAGGAAGAAUAAACUCUUAUCUCAAUGCAACAUUAGCAAUACAGUUAUAUCAUGCAAAGGAGGGUAAACGACCAACAUGAUUAAACACCUCAGGAUUCAUGGUGGAGAAAUACCAGAGUUCUCGUCUUUGACGCGCUUCGCUGGUGUUGUGCCAUAGAAUGCACCCCUGCCGUUGAAUGCACCCCUGACGGGAGCACGGUUUAAAGUACACAACAAGGCGAAACAAUCCAAGUUUUUCUUACCGUUGAACGGAAUCUAAAGCGUGUGCCUUUAAUGAUUUCAUUCAGGUUAUUCAGAUAUGCCGAAAACAACAGCCCUCUGAUUCGGAAUUUUACUGUCCCGAAAAUAUAAUGUUCUCUACCUUAACAGCUUACUGUACAGUUUAUAUACCCAAGUACACCUCUAUGUGUGCAUUUUUGAGACACAUAAAAACAAAACGAAAGUUUACUGCUCCAUUUGACAUGUUUUCAUGAUCUAAUACUCGUGGGUUUUUUUAAAUAUGAGAUCAUUGUCUUCCACUUUAAGAAGCUAAUGAGUGGAGGGGAGGCAUUCUACAGCAGGGGUGCAUUCUACAGCACAACACCUGUCUUCCGCUAACCAGUCAGGAUCAGAUAAGUGAAACAAUAAAUUGCUUCUGUCCUCUGCUAUCUUUGAAGCGGUAAACAAUUUGUACUGUGUACGGUGAGUUAACUUAAAUAUCCAACUAACGUUAGCCCUUGUACUUUUUCAUAGACGAAUGACCCGACAACAAAAAUUGAUGUUUAUAUACUGGUUGAAAAUAGCCCUGUGGGAAAUUCAUAGCAAAGUUCUUAAAAACUUAAUAGAAUUUGAAAACUCAUGGAGAAGUUCAGAAAUUUCAUCCAAAAAGAAGAGCUCCGGUUAGCACCCUCAUUCAAACCAUGCUUUUUUUUUUUUUUUUUUUUUGGAUAUCCUGCCUUUUAAAAGAAUCGAAAUAGAGAAUCGAUAGGAAUCGGUAUCGAAAUGAGGAAUCGAAUUCGGAAUCGUUCAAAAUCAAAUGAUACCCAACCCUACCUCUGACCCACACAAUACUGGACAUGGACCUUCUGUUUUCAUUAACUAUCCACCCAUUCCUGUCAUCAUCACUUAGCGUGAGAAAACCAGACUCCAUCAUGUUCACUCUGUGAACUUAAAUAACCUCAGACCUCUCCCAAAACAUCAACAGUCCAAUCGUACAGUCUGUAAGUCACCGGUCACCAUCAGCAUGGCACUUUUAAAUGUUCACUCCCUUUAAACAAAUCUUUUAUUAUCCAUGACCUUAUUUUAGAUAACAAGGUUGAUUGUUUAUUCUUAACUGAAAUGUGGCUGGGUACAGACAUGCCAGUUAUUCACAUUGAGGCCUCCCCACCUAAUUUUAACUUUACAUUCUACAUUAGAAGUGGCAAGAAAGGUGGUGUCUAAAAGGCAUGCACCAUUAUAGUUGCUGACUUUAUUUUGUUACAAGUUGUUAAGUGUUUGCUGAUGUAAUUGUUAAUAAAAUGCACAUGGAGCUUUAAUGAUUUAUGAGAAAAAAAACUGUGACAGCAGUGUAAUGUAAAAAGGCGUAUAUACAACAAAAUACAAAGGUAAAAAGAACAAAAAAAAAACUCACUUCAAUAAAAAAUAUUGCAGUAAAGCAUUGACAUUGCACAGAAAAUUGUAAACAGGUUCCACUAUGUACAUCCUUUUAAAUGACUCAGGGUAUGAGUACAUCAUAAAAAAAAACCCUUGAAACCCUUUGAGAAAUGAAUCCUGCGUCAUGUCCAUGUGGAUCUGGGUAUUUUCCCCUGAUUCUCCAAAGCCAACAACUUGGAAUUACCACUCUGUGCCCCCGUACCAGUGCUCCGUAUUGCCAGACAACUAACUGUCUAUAUGCACCAAACUGGAACUGUUUAUUGUUCUCUCCAGGGUCAGGGCUGUCAACAGUGGCUCGAAUGUCAUUUCAGACCCUUCUAGUUAAUUGCAAAACUCUUACCUGUAAGAUAUAAGCAUCCAUAUGUGGGAGCAUGGACACACAAGACCCACAAUACUUGGUCUUUUCCCUGCAUCUUCCACAGGUGCACCCUGGUAGUGGUGGUACACUAAGGCCAGGUUAACUGGUUGGGUCUUGAGAACCACUUGGGGCUGUGGCAGGCAGUACUUAAAAAAUGAGUCUGGAGUCCUUCUCCAAACACAGCCCCAUCAGUUGCUGCAUCUCUGCCAGUGCAAGUGUCCUUAUUCCAGCCUGGAAAAAAACACAUCAAACAACUUGUUACAAUCUUGUAUUUAGAAAUGGCAUGCCAAAAUUGAUUUAUAUGAAACUCACAAAAACUCGCUCAUCUUCCAUUCUCUGGGCUUGAAGGGUCUUCAAGCAGACAAGUUCCUCCUGUGCCAAUGCAUGGGGACCCUGGUCUCUUCGUUAACCUCUCGGUUGAGCCUCUGCCCCUGCCGUGUCCUCAACCCCUGUGGCUUUGCUGUGCCAGCCUUCCUCCUCUACCUCACCUCCCCUGCGUGCCUCGUCCUGCUGUGAAUGGCAUUGGAGAGUAUUCAUCCCCAGAGUCAAGGCUCUCUUCUUGAACAAGCUACAAUAAAAGUUUUGUUUUUAAUUUGCCACCAGAUUGUUUUGUAAGCUUUUCUAUAAAUGAGGUUUGUUUCUGAGACUAAUUUUAUGUUGUGUGCAAACCGCCAAUGCUGCCAUGCCUAGCUAAUACAGGUUAAGCUACCUGAGCUGAGUUUUUUUUCAGUUUAGCAAAUUAUAUGUUAAAAUAACACAGUAGGCAGCUGUGAGCAGUAUGUCAAUGCUAAGUUUACUUGUUGUUUGAUGUUUUCUUGCCUCAGAAUCAGACAUGAUUUAACUCUUCCGAUGGUCAAUCAAUUAUAGCACCAGUAAAUUGGAAGCAGUGUUACCAACUCCACUGUAAGGGAAGUCGCUUUUGGCUGUUCUAGAAGUCGGUAGAAGUCAUUAGAUGACGACAUGUGUGUGUUUAUGUUUACUGUUGAUGCACACCCUCUACCUGUUGACAAGAUUCACAUCAAUACCUGCUUGAUGUCAGAGUCUCCAAACUCCAGAAAAGUCGUUAGAUUUGUUGCUAAGCACUUUAACAAUGUUACAGAUAAAGACUAUGGGCCUGAAAUACUAAAGGAUUGCGUGUUCUAAAACAUAUGCAAACUUGAUAGUGGGUGCACCAACCAUUGUGUCUGUCAAAUUAGCAAAGUAGCACACACGAUCCAUUUAAUGUGUUUGCCUUCAUGAAUAUGCAGAUUGUAUGUAGGUCAUCAGACUGCGCAAAAUUCUGGGAGGAGAAGAUGCAAAUGUAAUCAUUUAGCAUCCGCAAUUUGAUUUAUCAAACCUGAAACUGAUUAGCGCCCCCUGUUUUAUAUCUAUACUUUGCCAGUUUGCACCUGCCUUUCCAACGUGCUAAGCGUUACGCGAAAAUGGCUGCAGUCAUGGCAAGAAGGAGGCAUACAUGAAAGGCGACAGAGAGCGAGAAUCUUCCAUGAGCGUGUGAACAUAUUUGGUCUUUCAGAGAGUAAAAUAGUAGAGAUGUAUCAUUUAUUCAGCUAUUUAACUUUUCAGCUGCUGGAUGACCUAAGGGGUGAUUUGGGGCUAGUCACAAAAGGAUUCGUGCCAUACCUCCUAUGGUAAACUCCUUGUAACACUGCAUUUUCUUGCAUCUGGAUCAUUCCAGUGCACCAUCACAAUUCGUGCCGGCGUAUAUGACACAAAACAUAGCUUUUAUGCAGUUGCUGGCUUCCCUCAAACCAUAAGUGCAAUAGACUGCACUCAUGUGUAACUUGUUCCCCUCUCAGAUAGGGAACAUAUGUAUCGGAAUUGCAAGCACAAACAUUUUUUGAAAUUUUAAGUUGUGUGUGACUCAGAAGAGGUAAUUACAAACAUCUUUGUGAAAUACCCAGGGUCAGUGCACUCAUCCUUAGUGUUACGACCCGGCCUAGGGGUAUGCCGGACGCAACAUAAAGUGCUCCCUUCCUCUGCCCCAACUCCCCAAGAAAACCAACAAUCAACAACAGUUAGCAGUCUUAAAUUAAUUUAUUGUUAAACAUAAAUGGUAGUUAACUUCAGGGUGGGCACAGGCCAAAACAACAAACAAAACCUCUUAUUUAAAACUACCUUACCUCACAAACAAAAAUGUAGUAAAUAAAAUACAGGGGGUCUUACCUGCCUCCCUAUCCAAAACACGAGAAAAGUCUGAAAUGAAAUAGCUGCCCACCCCUACCUACCAGACUGCUCUUAACACAACUUAAACAAUUUGUCAUGAAGACAAAUCAAAAUUCACAAAGUUUUCCACAAUUUUCAACACAAAAGAGCCUCCACGAAACACAGGUCUUGCUGGGAGUUGAGACAAAGGAAAUGAGAGAGAGAGCUCCUCCAGCAGUCACCCUUUUAACAGCUUCCCUCCUCAGCUGCUGUCCAAUCAGGCCAGAGUCCUCUCCUGAAAAAUAAAACAGACACAGGAACAGCACCUACCACAGGUAGGGAGGGUUACCCACAAACAAAAUGUGCUGCUGAAAAAAAGAAACAGGAAACAUAUGACCCCAGGUCAUAACACCCCCCUACCUAAGAUCAAACAUUUAUACUCUCUAAAUAAAUGUUUGAAUCACUGAAACAUCAAAAUUACCAUAGCACCCUAAACACAACAUGAGGCACACCUCAACAACCUACCCGAGACAAUGUAUCAGCUACCAGAUUAUCCGCCCCUUUAAUGUGGCGGAUCUCAAUAUUGUAGUCCUGUAACAGUAAGGACCAACGCAUAAGGCGCUGGUUGUGGUUGCGCAUGCGUGACAAAAACACAAGGGGAUUAUGGUCAGAAAAAACGAUAACCGGAAUGGGACUGGAACCGACAUAAACUUCGAAAUGCUGUAAAGCAAACAGUAAGGUGAGGGCUUCCUUUUCUAUGGUGCUGUACUUAAACUGAUAUUUAUUGAACUUCUUAGAGAAGUAGCACACGGGAUGGUCGAUGCCUUUAUCAUCUUCCUGCAAAAGGACCGCACCUGCGCCAUAAGCACUGGCAUCUACCUCGACCUUAAAGGGACGGUCAAACACAGGUGCCGACAAAACGGGUGCACUACACAGAAGAGCCUUGGCGGAAGCAAAAGACUCCUGGCACAUGUCAGUCCACUCGAACUUUACAGCAGGGCUAACUAAGCUAGUGAGGGGUGCAACAACACUGGCAAAGUUCCUACAGAAGCCUCUGUAGUACCCACACAUGCCCAGAAAACGCCGGAGUUGUCGACGUGUUUCUGGCACAGGAAAGUCCAGGAUGGCUUGGACUUUGGCCGACAGGGGGCGCACUUGUCCCUGUCCUACCUGCUUACCCAGGUAGGUGACCACAGCUUUUCCAAAUUCACACUUUGCUAAGUUUAAUGUGAGUGAAGCAGUUUCCAACCUUCUGAACACUUCUCCUAGGAUGUUAACAUGCUCGGGCCAGGUGGAGGAGUAACAGACAAUAUCAUCCAGGUAGACUUCACAAUUCUCCACACCUGAAAGGACUCUAUUCAUCAGCCGUUGGAAAGUGGCCGGCGCAUUCCUCAACCCAAAAGGCAUCAUGGUGUACAGCAAGAAGUGAUCAGGGGUGACAAAAGCAGAGAUGUCGGAUGCACGUUCUGUAAGGGGCACCUGCCAAUACCCUUUAAGAAGGUCCAACUUCGUUACAUACUUGGCCGACCCCACACGAUCUACACAGUCAUCCAUACGGGGCAAGGGAAAGGAGUCGGGCUGGGUGAUGGCAUUCACUUUACGGUAAUCUGUACAAAACCGUGGAGUUUGGUUGGAUUUGGGAACCAGUAAGGAGGGGGAGCUCCACGGACUACAGCUGGGCACAGCAAACCCAUUCUCUACCAAAUACUCAACUUCUUUACGCAUCGCGGCCCGCUUUACUGGGUUAACGCGGUAUGCGUGUUGCUUUAUUGGCUUGCUGUGACCAACAUCGAUAUCAUGUUUCAGCACAUUAGUUUGACUGGGUGUGUCAUUAAAAAGAUGCUUGUGGCGACGGAUGAGACAGCAAAUGUCGCGUUUUGCCGGAUCAGACAGAUACGACAGAUGCUCCUCGAGAUUUUCCAAGACUCUAGAAUUUUCUAAGCGAGCACACUGAACUGAGCUUGGCUGCUCACGCAGCCCGUCCUCCUCUGCACUGUAUGAGGGGGACACCACAGGUGCCACACAGGCUACAGGCUCAACGAAUUGCACGUCAUCAUUUUCACGAGCGACAUAUUUUUUUAACAUAUUCACAUGACACACACGGGAUUUUCGCUUUCUAACACCAUUCGUCGGGGACCAUCUUCUCAUCAAAACACCAUCAUCAAACAGGAAACACACAAGUUUUGUUUUUUCUUUAUUUUGUGCAGCGGAGAGACAAUUCACCAGCGUGCCAUCGGCUUGCUGCGCCUUAAUUAGUUCCUCUUUACUAACAGAUAAACACAAAUUUUCUUCCAGCUGCACAUCAACAGACACGGUAACACUUUCAUUUUCUGUCACUUCCUCAAACUUACGUGCUUGGGCACGCGUCACGACGCACGAGGGGAACACAGGCUGUAUCUCAGGCUCAGCAGGGCAGACGCACACAUCAGCAGCGGGAUCGUCCGUCACCUCAGGACUGCUGGGGAACACUUUACCUCCUGCCAAAUCAUUCCCGAGGAUGAGGUCGACCCCUGCAAUCGGCAGCUGAUCGCGCACGCCAACCCGCACCGGGCCAGACACUAAGGGGGAGAAGAUAUGGAUGUUAUGAAGUGGCACACGAAUAACGCUCAUUUUUAAUCCCCACAACAACAAAUCAGACCCACAAUAUGACAUGUGAGAAAAUGGCACGACUCCACGUCGAGCAACAGAAUGUUUUGCCGCAGUGUCCCUUAAAAUAGUUAUCGGGACUCUGUCUGCCUCACACCCGGACAGCGACACGAAACCUUGUGUCACAAAUGGUUUAAAGUCAUCGUCUAUUUCUUUAGGCAGCUGAUCAGUCGGCCGUUCUUGUUGCUGAAACACUGUUUGUGACUGGAUCAGUGCCACUGGUGAUGGACUUUUAACUUUAGCCUGUUCUUUCUGUUUCAACACUGGGCAGACGGCGAUGAAGUGACCGGACUGGUGGCAAUAAAAACACAGCCGAUUUUCACCGUUGGCAGUUUCGCCACGCCGGGACAAUCUUGGGGAUCUCCGUUUAUUUUCAAUACGAACGGGCGGAUCACGGCGCACAGAGGACAUGAACACACUUUUAUGAGUGAGCGCAAACUCAUCAGACAGGACUGCUGCCUCAGCCAGAGACGCAACCUUCUGUUCAUUUAGAUAGGUGACCAUGCGCUCAGGUAGACACUUUUUAAAAUCCUCCAGCAGUACCAGCUCACGCAGCUUGGCAAAAUCAUUAACUCUACUGGACUGACACCACUUAUCAAAAAGAGCCCCUUUAUCUCGAGCGAAGUCGACAUAGGUCUGUUUUUCACUUUUCACACAUGAUCUAAAUUUUUGCCUAUAAGCCUCAGGCACAAGCUCAUAAGCCCUCAGCACAGUAGCUUUAACAAUGUCAUAGUUUAAGCUCUGUUCAAGUGUGAGGCUGGCACAAACCUCCUGGGCUUUACCCACCAACUUGCAUUGGAGCAACAGGGACCAAACAUCCUUAGGCCAAUUAAGAGCAGCUGCUAUCCUUUCAAAUGCACUGAAGUACGAGUCCACCUCAGACUCUCUGAAGGAUGGAACAAGAGCAAUGUGUUUGCUCACGUCAAAACUGCUUGCAGAUAAGUGUGGGGUUUGCUGACUGGGUUGACUGGUGGUGCUAGGCAGGCGUUCCAGCUCCAAAGCGCUCACCCUCAGCUGCAUGGCCUGCACCUCCAUCUCCUUCAGGCGGAGGGUCAGUCUGAGCUCCUCAGCCGACAUCCCCAGCAACACAGGAGGGUCAGAAAGGGCGGCAGCGACAGGUGGAACUGCCUGUGGGGAUGCCACAUCAGCCUUCUCUGCACCUCCUAAGGGCAGCAAACCUCUAUCCACAAGCUGACCAGUUACAAGCUGAAGCAGCUCCUCCUUCUUAGGAUUCGCUGCCACAUCAAUAUUAUAUUGAUUUGCAAUGAGCAACAAAUCAACUUUUCUACAUUUUUGUAGCUGCUCUAAAGUGGGAUUCUUCACAAAAUUCUCCAAAUUAAACUCCAUCGUGCCAAAAAAUAUAUACCAACCAGAAUUAUCUUAAAUACACAACACUAGUACACAAGCUCAAGCAACAAUUGAGAUCCUGGCCGAGCCCCCAAUUUAUGUUACGACCCGGCCUAGGGGUAUGCCGGACGCAACAUAAAGUGCUCCCUUCCUCUGCCCCAACUCCCCAAGAAAACCAACAAUCAACAACAGUUAGCAGUCUUAAAUUAAUUUAUUGUUAAACAUAAAUGGUAGUUAACUUCAGGGUGGGCACAGGCCAAAACAACAAACAAAACCUCUUAUUUAAAACUACCUUACCUCACAAACAAAAAUGUAGUAAAUAAAAUACAGGGGGUCUUACCUGCCUCCCUAUCCAAAACACGAGAAAAGUCUGAAAUGAAAUAGCUGCCCACCCCUACCUACCAGACUGCUCUUAACACAACUUAAACAAUUUGUCAUGAAGACAAAUCAAAAUUCACAAAGUUUUCCACAAUUUUCAACACAAAAGAGCCUCCACGAAACACAGGUCUUGCUGGGAGUUGAGACAAAGGAAAUGAGAGAGAGAGCUCCUCCAGCAGUCACCCUUUUAACAGCUUCCCUCCUCAGCUGCUGUCCAAUCAGGCCAGAGUCCUCUCCUGAAAAAUAAAACAGACACAGGAACAGCACCUACCACAGGUAGGGAGGGUUACCCACAAACAAAAUGUGCUGCUGAAAAAAAGAAACAGGAAACAUAUGACCCCAGGUCAUAACAUUAGAAACAGUGUCCUUUUUGACAUGAUGCCAUGGGUGUGGGGGACAAUGACAACUGGUCACAUACGCAACAGAUCAAUGCUGCGGAACUGCAGACACAGGCCAAUCUUAUUCAAGUCAUUUCUCAUUAGCAAUUUGAGAUAUGCAUUUUUUUUUAAUUCUUGUGGUAGGAUGAUGUGUCUCCUCGCUUUUAGAAGAGUUUUAUUUGCCUGCUGUCUUGAGUACCCUGUCAGCCAAUUAACUCACGAGGGCACUCUAUAAAAGGGAGUUGUAGCAGCCUCCCCUUCUGCUUACUUUGGCCUUGCCCUUGCGGGUUGCCUCGCCCCUCUCCUCACACUAACACAGGGUGUCGGCUCUCACGACCAGUGCUGUGCAUAUAUUGUUGUCAUCGCCGCAUAUGAUACAUGCUUGGUUCGCUUCUCUCCCUCUUGGGGGUCUCUCACCUUGGCCUGAUUAGUGUGUAUGCCUUCCGUCAAUAUGACAAGCCUGCACCUCCAUCUUCUGCUCUUCUGGAUUAACCAGAGUUAAUUUUAUUUGUCACAGGGGCCAUGUGAGCUGGGUGUCUCCCUGGGGACUUCCAGCGGUGUUAAAUUAAUGUAAGGAAAAUGCUGUUUUGCUUUGACGCUGCAUUGCUUUAACGCUGCUUUGCUUCUGCUUUGCUUCGCAGCCUGUUUGCUGACUAGUGGCUACCUUGCUGCGGCUAUCCCAGCUCUGUGGCUGUGGUGUUCCUGCUUCUGUCUCACUGUGGCUGUCUAGCCCCUGGUACUCUGCUUGCUAACACUGCUGCCUCGCUGUUUUCCCUGCUGGCCCUGCUCAGACAGCAUUUGAGUUUAAUGCUGCACAGUAGAACAUAAACAAGGAACAAACUGUAACAGAUCCACAUGGCAGACAUGACCGAACUAUUUUAUUGAAUUAAUCCUUUGUGCUGAUCUUUCAUUAGCUAAUCUUGAGUGAACUGAUUUUACAGAGUGGUUGAACUAAUUGUGGGGCUAACUUCUGUUAGUAGUUUUGUUUAUUUUGUUCUGUUUUCCUCCUCCUUGGGUUUUCUAUUUUUUCCCCCUUUAUUUGCGUUAUUUGUAUUUCUUUGGUAUGAGUUCAUGGGGAACAUCUUUUUGGUUAACGGUGGGGUAGGCAGGAUUCCGUUGAAAAAAGAAUCUUUUUUUGUGGUGUAUAUACAAAAAGCUUUUAAUAUCAGUCAACUGCUAUUAGUUAUUGAUGACAUUUGGUAAUAUCAUGAUAUCCCUGUGUUCUUUUAUGCCUGUGUAGUCAACAUUUUAAUAUUUUUAAGUGGCCUUCUCUUUCUGACUGUAAACAAAGCCAUUCUCUGCCUCCCCCAACCUGAUUGAUUGUGAGGCAGACGCUGCUCCCUCAUGUUGUGAGGCACGCUCCACAUAAUUGGAUAACGUGCAUGAGCCCAAACAAAGUUAGCAUGCUACAAUAUCAGACAGUAGAAACUAACCAGAAAGUACAGAAUUGUCUGAAUACUCCUUUGGCUACGACUGCCAACACAAGUAAGAAAACGAUUAAAAGCGAUUAAAAAGGAGGUAGACCGGACAAGAGCUAAAAAGCCGGGUAAGCAUCAGCCAUUGGGAUCUUAUGGACCCUGUAACCUUUCUGCUGGACAGGUAAACAGCUUAACAAAGUGAGCUAAGUUUCUGUAACAGAAGUGCUUCUUGUCAAACAGGACCUGCUGCGAGUUGUAGCGCUGCUAAACUCUUUACGUCGGGUCCUGGAUUGUGUCACUUUUUUCAAGUUUUAGAAGUCCUGCAAACAUUGGUUUUGCCAGUAGUCUGCUGGCAUCUACAGUUGCACUAAUGCUUUUUACUUUCACGUUGACUAGGCCCCAUUUGUGAUUAUCUGAAGUUUUUAUCUGCAUUAUAUCUGAAAUUAAUUGGAACGAUACAAGCAAGUAGGAGUGUCUGUUUUUUGGCGUGGCUUGCUGGAACAGAGAGGGAGGAGAGGAGGAGCUGAGGGGAGAACUGGUUGGGAGGGGUAGUGUUUACAUUCAAGAUUUUUCCCAAAAACUGGCACUUCCUCAGAUCCUGCCUACCCUACCUUUAAGUUUGUUUCCAUGGAUUACCAUUGAAUCUUUAUUUCUUUUGUUUUUAGUCAAUUAUUUGUUUUUGCUUAAUCCUUUUUUUGCUCAAUUAGUGCAGAACAUCUUAUUUUCUAAUUUAAUUACGGGUUCUGAGUUAUUCUAUUAUGUUAUUCAGGUUUAAUAGCUUUGACAGCAUAUGUCUGAUUGGUUAGUUAGAAUAGAAUAGAAUAAAAUAGAAUAUUCCUUUAUUGAUCUGACUGAAUUUUUUUUUUGCCACAGCAGCAACACAGACAAAGAAAGUGCAAAAAUGCAGUUAUAAGAAUAAAGAUUGUGAUAUUAAGAACUUAAAUGUUACAAAGAAAAAAUUUAGAAAAGGAAAAAGGAAGAGGAAAAUAAAACUAUAUACAAUAUACACAAUUUAAGUACCAGAAGAAAAAAAAAACUGGAUGAAUAAAUGAGUAAGGAGAUGAACAACAGAUGAGGAGGUAACAGGAUGGUCAUGGUUAAAUAACUGUACAUGAAUGUUAUAUAUUAAAUAACUAAUAGGUUGCUAUCAUUUAUAUUGUUUAAUUAUAGUUUAUAGUUUGCCCUUUAAACUUAGCGUACCUGUUUAUAAUUUGAAGAACAGUGUUGCAGAUGAAGACCUUCUCGUCAGAUCUGUUCCUGGAGUGAGAUUCUGAUGUUUUGUUGACCUGACGGCUCUCUCUGCAGGUUUUAACACACUAUUAACACAUCACCUGACUUCCUCCCUCCUGUUCCUGCUGUGACUCUACAGUCCAUGUGAGGCUUUUGUCACCUGAAUGUAAACAAAUAUUUGUUCUGGAGGAGAGUCAGCCCAGUUAGCUAACAGGACAGAGGGAGGCAAAGGGGGUGGAGCAGGAAGCAGACGUGGAGCAGACGUCUGAACAGCCUGAUCCGUCCAGCAGUCCUGGCCUUGAUACCUAUUACAGGUACUUUUAGCUAUCAGAUGGCAGGGCAGUGCUGUACGGCAGACAGAAAAGACAUAAAAAGCCUUUCAGAAGACUCUCCCUAAGGACCCUUGGAAUAGCAAUCCCCCCAAAACCCCCUCUCAUUUGCUCCCAGAGCCCUGAACAGUCCCACAGAGCAGGAAAAAGAUCAGAUCAGAGCUGAACUAAGGAGCAGGCUUCAGGUUUCUCUCUGACAGACGGCCCUCUCCUGUCAAAACAGUCCCUGAGAGUGGCGACAAAGCCCGGGUCAGCACCCCGUCCCUGCUGCCAAAUCCUGCAUUCCAGCCGAGUAUUUUUAGUACCGGCAUUUAAACUUGGCAACACAUUACAGUAAAUAGCCAUACCAGCGGCACUAUUUCCUGUUCCUGUAAAAGACGGGGUGUGUGGGAGCACAAAUCAGCACCCAUUAUAAAAGACACCCCCAUGAAUGUUGGCAUGUGCACACAGUCAGUUAUUGAACUUUACUGGUUGAGGAGAGAGCUUAUAUCACUCUGUGGUGGAGGAAUAAAAACUCAAGAAAACUGGAACAGUCACUGACUUUAAUUGGCAUCAGACUGAGGAUAUUAAAUAUCUAGAAUUAAAUAUCUAUUACAGCUGGCACAUACUGUACAUGAACCAUGAUGACAACGUUUAAAAAAAGCUUCUCUAAAGUGGGAACUGCGAGGAAUAAAAAUUGACAAGAGAGCAAUAAAAAUUGACAAGAGAGCCUAAACAGCUCCUAGGUCCUUUUUUGAAUAAUCUGAAUUGCCCAUUUAAAAGCAAACGGUGUAAAUUGAAUCAGGAGGUUUCAAACAACUUUCAGGGUAUUAAAUGUGCAGGAGGUACACAAGAUGGUUGCAUAAAGUUCCUUGACUGUCCAUAAGUUUGUUUUGGAUGUAACAUAAAUCAAACUGAUAAGCUUGCUCUUGUUCUUUUCACAUAACAGGUUUCAGCUUUUCUACUCAACUACAGCAGUCUCCACCCACUACAUGAACCCCCCUCCUUCUACUGUGCUUCUUUAAAUGCAGAAAACACUCAGGUCACUGUGGGGGUCAUGUCCAUGCAUGAACUGAUAUUGUAUCCACUGAAAUAAUUGCAUUGGACAGCAAGAACGAAAGUGACUCUACAAAUUGACUCAUACCUUUAUGCAUGUGGGUGUUAACAGCUUCUCACUUGACAUGUUCAAUGCUGUUGUGGUACUAGUUCUAUCUUUUUAAUGGGAUCACUGAGUCAUAAAUGUCAUCACAGACAAAUAAGCACAUAUUAAAAAAAAAAAAAAAGGUCAAAUACUCCUUAAAAUCUGUUUGAACAUGUCUGUGUUUCUCUAAUCUCCAUCUUUUCUCUUUUGCUGUUUCACUCAUUAGACUUUCCUCUGUGUAGCACACCUCAUCUCAUACAUACAAAGUCUCUACAUGGCAGAGGCCCCAGCAGGGUUCGACUUGAUUUUCUUAUUAAAACAACAGAGGGAGAAGAUGAGUCACCUCAGACCACAGUAUGCUGGACUGAGCUUUCAUCUAAGACAACAGUUUUCCCACUUUGUUCCCUUUGUUUUUUUUAACCCCUCUGGUGAGUUUUAACUGUGAGUGCCACAGUCAAGUGCACCUGAGUAUCCUGUUUCAACAUACUGAGGCUGAGGGCAAACAAAUGUGAAAACAGGGUGUCAGACGUCACCUUAAAACUUACAUGUGCUGGACCAGAAACCGAACUGAAGGCAGGUAUCAAAAAUAUAUUUAAACCCCUCAGAAACUUUAAUCUGAGCAGCAAAAUCCAGACUUAACCAUGCAGAAAAUAAAACAAAAAAACUGAGAUCCAAGCGCUGCUUUUACAAUGAGAGUUAUUAGGAGAUUUUAGUACAAUGUGCAGAUAACAGGUGUCAGAGCCAUUAUUAGAUGCACUAUGCUAGGUGUAACACAGUCAGUCCCAACUGACACUUCAACUUUUCAACCAUUUCUGCUGCCAGCUAAAAUGAGGUUGCAUCUGCAAAGUGUCACACAGCUUCUAUCCAUAACUCUGAGAAAAUGUUUAGUGCAGUGUUAAAAGAGUGAUAAACAUUAUUAUUGAAGGACAUUUCUACAAAACCAUGAUGCAGCAUUUGGUGAAGUCUGGUCGAAGCAAAGACCUACAUGUUAAACUGAUAAAGACAUCACAGUUCCCACUGGCUGCAUGACUUUAGCCGGUAGGUUCAGAAACACAGUUUACACACAGUUUUCCCUCCAUAGAGGGAGAAUAUGCCUAAGCUUUGCAGCUCUGACCAUGAUAACUCUUGGAUGACUCCUGUGAUGAAUCGUGUGACAGAAACACAUUUCCUCUUGAAAUCUGGCCUGAACGUAGACACUACAUGGUCCUAAAAAUAGUCUGAAUAAAAGAAAAAAAAAGAUGCCUCUGGAGUCAGUUGGAGUGACCGUCAUCAGUGCCAUACUGAGUCUCUAAAAGUCUUUCUGGAAAAAUGCUCACCAUAUUUCUGUGUUUUAAGAGAAGCUCUGAAAAAUGUUGUAGGGACCAGAACAGGGUGCUGAGAAGCUCAGAUAUCUGCAAUGUGGGUUCAGUUUAAUGUCCCUGUUUAAAAGGUCACGACCAGUUCACUCCAGGAGAUUGACAUACCUGAGAAAGCCAAAUGACCAAAUGAUAAAAACAAAUCUCACGUACUUCAUCAAUGGUUGAUAAUAACAUGUUCACAGAGAACUUGAACUGUGAAUUCAGAGAGCAAGUUCAGUUUAUCACCACCUGUAUUUAUGUGUUUUCCUGCUUUGACAGCGGAUGUAAUUCUGCAAUAUGAAAGUGGAAUGCAGUGACAUCCGAAUGAAUGGGCAUCUGGACAUGUCAGUAAUGCUCUGAGUGACACCAGACUCCAUACUGUGCAGCCAUUAGGGGACCAAACAGUCUCACUUGGCCCUAAGAAGACUCAUUUCCUAGCACUCAGAGCUUAGGAAACUGCUCUGACCAGCUCCAGCCUGCCAGCUAGGCUGGGCCUUUUAACAGAGAGGAUGCACCAAAACAGAGACUCAAUAGGCUUGAUUUGCGUGCCUUGCCAGCGGCGUAUCCCCCCUCCCUAACUCAGCACCUCCUAGCGGAAUAAGUAGGAGAGAGGGAGGGGAGAAAGCAUGGACUGAUGUUCUGGUCCGGGAGGUCCAGGCUUGCAGUGGCUGGAUCUAUGGUCACAUGAACAGACUUCCACGGGCUGAUGAUGCCAAAGCAGCCUGGGAUGAGGUGAGUAAUACCGUAUACCAGGUUUGCCCAGCUUUCCCAGCAUUGUCGCCAGAUGGUCACAACCAGAGGUAGCCCCUCAGCAAGUGUGGUGCUGAGCCCUGCAGAAGACCUGGGGUCCUCCACACUUCCCAAAUAAGCACUGAGGGGUUUAAUGACUUUGAGGUUGAACCCAGGGGUAAGACAAACAUUCUUCUCCACAAAUAAAGACACUCACAUCAAGUAUAUUUAACCACGUGUUACAAAGGUGUGUUGUCAAUCAAUCAAAUUUUAUUUAUAUAGCACAAAUUCACAAAUUUCAAGACGCUUUUCAAAGAACAAGAGCAGGUCUAGACCACGCUCAUUAUUUGAUGAUCAAGAACCAACCUAAGAUGGGUUUUGGCCCAUCUCAACUAACAUGAGUAGCAGUGGCAAGAAAAAACUUUUCCUUUUAACAGGCAGAAACCUUGGGCAGGACCAGACUCAUGUUAGACAGCCACCAUGCCGCUGCUGGGUUGGGGAGGAAGGUAGAGAGAAGAGGGGAGAGAGGAGAGGACAGGGGGAGAGAGCGAGAGAACAAGAUAAGGGAAGGCGAGAGAGAAUGAGUAAGGAGAGGGAGGGGGAGGGAGAGAGAGUAGAGAACGAGGGUGAGAGAGAGACAGGGGGCAGCAGAAACAACAGCAACAACAACAACAACAACAGCUCAUGUAAUGGUGAAACAAAAUGAGUUCAGUUUACAGGGUUAGGAUAUGAGUGAUUAUGGACAAUGUUAAAUUAAUGAAAUGUGAUUACAGUCAGCAGGCCUAAUAGUAGUCAACUCUAGUUUGUUAUUAAUGUCAGUAUUGUUAGUGAGGCUGAUGUUCAUGUCUGCAGUAACAGUCCAGAGGAAUUCAAGAGAAGAAGCUCAGGGCCUGAGGUGGACAAUCAUAGAUGAUGCGGCUAACAGUCCAAAGAAAUCCAAGAGAAGAAGAAGCUCAGGGCCUGAGGCGGACAAUCAUAGACGAUGCGGCUAGAGUCAGGCAGGUCUGCAGCAGCCAUCAGUCCGGAGCAACCAAGGGGCAGGGGGUGUCUGCAGCAACGGUCCAGAGGAGCCAAAGAGAUGGAGGAGCUCAGGGCCCAGGGUGGACAAUCAGGGAUGAUGCAACUGGGGUCAGGCAUUUCCGCAGCAGACCGUCUGCAGCAUUAGUCCAGUGGAAGCUAAGAGACUCAGAGACACUCAGAGACAGAAAACUGGUUAGUGACUUAUAUGGGACAUAAAUAUCUAAAGAAGAGAUAGAGACAGACUCUAGCUCAGUGUGCCAGAUAGCCCCGGCAGUCUAGACCUAUAGCAGCAUAACUAAGAGCUGGUUCAAAUCAGCCCCAACUAUAAGCUUUAUCAAAGAGGAACGUUUUAAGUCUACUCUUGAAAGUUGAGAGGGUGUCUGCCCCCCGAACCUCGAGCGGUAAAUGAUUCCAGAGGAGAGAUGCCUGAUAGCUGAAAGCUCUUCCUCCAUUACUACUUUUAGAGACAUUUGGUACAACGAGCAGGCCUGCAGACUGUGAGCGUAACGGUCUAGAUGGAAAGUACGGUACAACAAGCUUGUCGAGAUAUGAUGGAGCCUGGCCGUUAAGCGUUGAGUGUUGUGUGCACAGGUAAUAUUAAUGUAAUACAAAAAUUAACAUUGUAGACUGUGUAUAUCAACUUCAGGAAGAUCUGCAUCCCUUUGCUUCCAGGCUUUAUGUUACGCACAUAAGCGUCUGUUCUGGAUCAUGUCUCAGUCAUGGACUUUGACCAUUGAGCUGUCUCCCUUAUUUUGGUCUCCAUGUUCAGAAAAGUUGUCUCAAGACUGAAACCUACAGGCUCACUGUGUGUAAAACUCUAUUAAAAAAAGUGUCUCCAGAUUGUGUUAUUUUAGAGAAAAUAACUGUGUUAGCGUCUUCAGAUAAAACCACCUCUCCUGGAGUUUAACAAAAGUAAAGUUCAGCCCAUCAAAACUACUGAGGGAAUUGUAAUUAAUUUUUCACCCAGUGAGGAGGAAGAUGACGUCCAUUCUAUGUACAGUUUUUUAUUUACAUUAUGUAACAACAUGCAAAAUUUUAAUAUCCUCCAAAAAAAAAAAAAAGAAAAAAAAAAGAAAAAGAAAAUGAUGCAUUGGAGACCCUGUGAAUUGCGGAGUAUUUUUAUUUUCAUCUGCAUGCUUGGAGGUGCACAGGUCAGUGCCGUACACAGCGGUACCUUCAUGAGGUAACCUGGGCUAAGUGCUUCCACAGGCUGCUGCCUGCUUGUUCACUACUGUUGGGAACAUGAGGCUCUGGCUGCUUCACAAACAUCUGUAUUUGUAUGAGUGCAAUUCUGAAAGUCGCAGCAGUAAAUUUUCUCUUUUUUGUUUUUUUGCACAGACCCUCAUUCACCACACUCAGAGAGCUGGGCCAACCCACAGUGCUGCAUGUCGUGAUUGAUGAGCAUGACUUCUUUUCCAGAUGGAUGCCUGACUGCAGCAGGAUCUUACCUGCUGCCACAGCUCAGACUGCUGGAGGAGCUACAAACGCUGUCCAUCAGUGUGUGUGUUCACAUGUGUGUUUUGCCCUCAAGGGGCAGUGAGCAGCAGGUUGGUGGACAGCUUUCAGCAUCGCCUGUCUUUGAGCUUUCUGUGAAUGGUGCAAGGUUUUUGAUGUAUUUGCUCUUCAUCAGAAGCAGAUGCUUGAGCCUGCAGACAUUUCGAUACCUGAGAUGGGUAAAUCAUGCAGGCUUCAAGAUGUAACAGGAUUCAUUUUUUUAUUAUUUUUUAUUAUUUUUAAUUGUGUGAGGCAAUGUCCUCCUUUUAAUCAGCAGCUGUUGUAAAUAUAAUGAAUUAAAAAUGCAGAUACAGCUUGAAAACUGCAUUCAAUUAAGCCAAAAAUGUGUUUCCAGGUGGAUUUGCAGCUUAUGUGUAAUCCACUUGUACAGGAAAUGUGCUGUUUAUUUUUUAUGCCUGGCUUUACGUAAACACGAAUCCAACUGAGUUUUACGGAGGAAAAAGUAGAGUCCUGACAGGAAAGAGGUUCAGCUCAUAAACUCAUAUUAUCCAUGCCAGCACACUGUUGAGUCUAUCAUCAGUAAUUACUCAGUGUCCUGGAAAACACGGUCUUUAGGAAACAUGCUGUCGACACCUCAUGGGGAAUCUAACAGCCAGAAAAUCAGGCCCUUAUUCAAAAAUGUGUGACACUCAGAGUGUGGUUCACAGGUGGGGAGCACUCAUCAUUAAUUCAUUUUACAUGCCAGCCGGGCAGUUUGCCUCUGCGAGCUGCUCUGAAGUCUGCUCCAGUCCUGAAUUAGCACUUUGCAGGAAGUUGGUUUGGGGCUUGCAGAAAGGAAACACAACAAUCCCUCUGCCUCCACACAAGACGACAGCGAGGGAGCGGAACAGAUACUCCACCCCACUGUUCUCUAAGCUGGAUCUCACUGCAUGUGACUGAAGAAGAUUAUUAGGGUAUUUGUUUGCCAUAAACAUCAUUCUGGAAAUAUUUGCUAAAUAGCCCUUUGACUGUGUUGGUUCCAAAGAUCUGUGUAGAUGGCACGGAUAAAGACCCUCAGAACAGUCAGGGUCAUACUGGGCCAAUGCUGAAACAACAGAGUACAGGUGUGCCCAAGGAUCUUCUGUCUCAUGUUUGAGGAAUAAGGCUGUGAGUCACUUUCGUGGUUCACGAACAUUUAAUCUAGAUGGUAGUUUACGCCAAACAACAGGAACCUUCAUAAAAAAUGGAUUAACUAAAACUAGUAGCAGCAGCUGCCACAAACAGAUAAUAUCAAACACAUUUUAACACAAAGACAUGUUUUUGGCAUGAAGAUUGGCCUCAUACACAAGAGCAGAAUGUGUGCAAAUGAAUGUCAACAUUACAUUAAUUUGAUUUAUAAUUCAUCCAUUACUUGUCAAUGAGCACUCAGAAAAGUUAAGAGUGAAGGUUUCCACCUUAGAAGAAUUCUCAGCAACUUCCAAAAGUUUUUCACUUUUUCCCAUCUCAAACUCCUCAUGUAGGUAUUAAGGAGGUGUGCAGACCUACACAGGUCUGGAUCUCUACGUUUGAGCCCAAAGUGUUCCAAUUCCUCGGAGUCCAGUGGUUUGAGAGAGUACGGCGGAAUGAUAAUUACAGUGGUCUAUUCCUUGGUUUGUUUUGUUUGCCUUGGUUGGCUUGUUGCUUGAUUUAGUAUCCCUUAUUUUGUUUCAUUGUUUGAAAGCUUGAGGUCAAUAUGAAUCAGCAGUAUGCUCCAGCUGGUUCGACACCUCCAGACCGGGCAUGGCUGGAUUUACUCAGAGCCAGGCUUUGCACCCUUACUGGUGUGUACUUACUUGUCUUUUUCCUGUUGCCUUUGGUUACCCGGCUGCCCUAAACUCGCUCAUCAGUUUGGGUGUGUUUAUGUGCCAGCAUGCCCGUGCUGCGAUCAGCUGUUUAAGCUUCUGAGGUUGACUGAGUGAGCGGGCACGUCUCCCCUAUUAUUAUAUCAUACAUGCUGAACAAUUGUCAUAGCCAGUCUAAGCCCUUAUUAUCCCACUCAGAUACAUCAUAUUGCUGUCACUGUUUGAUAUAAUGUAAACUUUGUGGAUUAUUGCACAAGCAUAGUUGUAACCAGCACCGCAGUGAAUGAGUUUAUAAUGGUGAACUAAAAACGCUAGCGGUAUGGAGCUAAUUGCUACAGAGUGUAUGUAGGCCAGGCUUGACAUAGACAUUAUAUGUGUAUAUUAUGUCUAUGGGGAUUAAGCUUCACAUGUAUUAAAUGCAAUAUUCUGUCCAUUUGACAUGGCACAUUGUACUCUUAAACAAGAUAACAAUUUUCUCUCUAAUCUGUUGAGAUUACCUGCUUGCUAUUAGUCAGAGGGACCAAUCCUGAAAAUAUGAUUGGGCAAAUUCUAUCUGCUACCAUGGCAAACAAUCUUGCCUGCAUCUUCAACUGGGCGGGAAAGGGACUUAAAAGGGUCUUCAAGGACAUGUUAAUGCUGGAUUGCAUGUUUGGUGAGUCUGCACAUGAAAUACUGGGUUUACUGCUUUACAACUGAUGUGGAAAUGUUGAUGAUGGGUUUUGAAUUUAAACUUAAACUUAACUUUACAACACCUUUUUUGCUCCCUUUUUGUUUCAGAGGCUGCUCGUCAAUUUGAUCGCAAGUUGACGGAAUUACAAUACAGGGAUACACUGCAGAAGUUGCUGCAUUAUGCACCUGAGAGGAGUGGCAGGGUACCAAGGACAGAAAAGUCAACAAGUUAGAAGGACAAAUGGUUUGGAGUUGGAGGCAUUCAUUGAUUUAAUGUGUUCCAUUCAUGUUGAACUUUGGUCUUACUAGUUAUUAAGGACUGCCUGAUUGCUAUUGCAAUGUUUGAGUCCCCAGGAUUUUUAGGGCAAAUAGAUGGCCAGAUAAUUUACUACUCUGAACUGGGGUCUUAUAGUUUUGAAGGACAUUGACAUGUUUGUGUUCCCUGUAUUUCCCCUGGAAUCUUUAAUAAAUAGCUAAAUGAAUAAUUGUUUUAUUUCUCUUUUCUUUUCUUUUUUGUCAAUAGAGCAUGCAGUUUAGCAGCUGUUCUCAACCUUGGUUUCUUAAAAAAAAAAAAAAGAAAUAUCCAUUACAAGCUCACAACACAUUUUCAAUAUUCACCCAUGACAAAAUUAUAAUCAAGUAUGGGGUCCCCCAAAACAUGUCCCUGUAAAGUUGGAUUUUUGUUUAGAAGGGUUGAGGAUCACUGCAGUAUAGCAUACUAAAGAGACCAUUUCAUAGUAUUAGGCUUCAUCUGUUUUGAAUGUGCCUCGUUCGAAUAAUCGUUUUGAUCCAUGGUGUUUAAAAAUUCUGCAGGGGGUUGUUUCAAACUCCUCUAUUAGUGACAUCGCUGCCACUCAGGCAUAUGGCAGUGAUGUCACUGACUAGUAAACUAUUUUGGCACACUUCUUGUUUAACUAUACCAUAGAGUAAUAAAAGUGGUUAUCUUUUAAUGAGGCAUAUUAAAAACGUACAGAGGAAGGUUGAAAAGUGAUGAAAUGGCCCAUAUAGUCUCAAUGUGUAAUGCAAGGCAUACAGUAUAAAGUUGAAUCAUUGCUGAUGCAAUUCGACAUUAUUUCAAUGUUUCUUUCAUUAUUUCAUAGUUGAUCACAGCGAGCACUUUCAAUGUAUUUUUCGAUGUCAGACAUCAAUGUUGAACACAAUUUUCAGCCUGACAAUAUCUCAGUGUUGAUUUAAUCACUUUUUGAUAUCUGGGCUCUCAGCCAUCAGGGGGCACUACAUGCUGUGGAGGACAUGUGUGAACCAGCUACUCUGGAAAUUUCACAGGCAGAGCUUCCUGUAAGCUUUUUGAAAAUGAUCACUGAUAGAUAGAUAGAUAGAUAGAUAGAUAGAUAGAUAGAUAGAUAGAUAGAUAGAUAGAUAGAUAGAUACAUACAUACAUACAUACAUACAUACAUACAUACAUACAUACAUACAUACAUACAUACAUACAUACAUACAUACAUACAUACAUAGACUUUAUUGAUCCCAAACUGGGAAAUUGUCAAAAUUGCUUGUCCUGAAGAGUUUAUAAGCUGAUGGCAGAGAAGGCUACACAAGGGACCCAGUUUGAGGUUCACUGUCCUGUCCAAGGACUCUUCAGCAUG
Molecule: long non-coding RNA, 25088 nt
Filed under: Xyrichtys novacula (pearly razorfish)
Lineage: Eukaryota; Metazoa; Chordata; Actinopteri; Labriformes; Labridae
Source: RNAcentral